GACGAACGCUGGCGGCGUGCUUAACACAUGCAAGUCGAGCGGUAAGGCCCUUUCGGGGGUACGACGAGCGGCGAACGGGUGAGUAACACGUGGGUGACCUGCCCUCCAGCUCUGGGAGUAAGCCUGGGAAACUAGGGUCGUAAUACUGGAUAUGACUCCACGGUGCAUGUCGUGGGGUGGAAAGCCUUGUGCGGCUGAGGAUGGGCCCGCGGCCUAUCAGCUUGUUGGUGGGGUAAUGGCCUACCAAGGCGACGACGGGUAGCCGGCCUGAGAGGGCGACCGGCCACACUGGGACUGAGACACGGCCCAGACUCCUACGGGAGGCAGCAGUGGGGAAUAUUGCACAAUGGGCGAAAGCCUGAUGCAGCGACGCCGCGUGAGGGAUGACGGCCUCGGUGUAA
Molecule: ribosomal RNA, 401 nt
Filed under: uncultured bacterium
Lineage: Bacteria
Description: bacterial SSU rRNA
Rfam family: Bacterial small subunit ribosomal RNA
Source: RNAcentral